RNAcentral lists this ribosomal RNA (448 nucleotides) under uncultured bacterium. RNAcentral's name for it is "bacterial SSU rRNA". It matches the Rfam family "Bacterial small subunit ribosomal RNA", at positions 335 to 798 of the family's 1533-position model. The record is from RNAcentral.
ACUCCUACGGGAGGCAGCAGUGAGGAAUCUUCCACAAUGGACGAAAGUCUGAUGGAGCGACACCGCGUGAAGGAUGAAGGCCUAACGGUUGUAAACUUCUUUUCUGAAGGAGCAUAAUGAGAGUACUUCAGGAAUAAGGGACGGCUAAAUACGUGCCAGCAGCCGCGGUAAUACGUAUGUCUCGAGCGUUACCCGGAAUCACUGGGUGUAAAGGGGUUCGUAGGCGGAACUAUAAGUCAGAUAUGAAAGACCGGAGCUCAACUCCGUGUUUGUGUUUGAAACUGUAGUUCUAGAAUUAGGGAGAGGUAAGCGGAAUUCUAAGUGUAGGGGUGCAAUCCGUAGAUACUUAGAGGAACACCAAAAGCGAAGGCAGCUUACUGGAACUAUAUUGACGCUGAGGAACGAAAGCGUGGGGAGCGAAAGGAUUAGAUACCCUGGUAGCGACUGA